Pelobates cultripes (western spadefoot toad) is the source of this 1338-nucleotide non-coding RNA. Lineage: Eukaryota; Metazoa; Chordata; Amphibia; Anura; Pelobatidae. The record is from the annotation of a GenBank genome assembly.
GGGGGCGGGGCCCGACCGCCAUGCUGACCGGUCGCAGGCUGGAGAGGCUCCUGCAGGAUCUGGCCUAAUCUGGAGGAAAAACCCAAGCUUAAAGCCUGAUUCAGAGCCAAGAGACCACCUCUCAUGUCCGGGUGGUUGCCGGUGCCACUGUGGUCCCCGAGAUCGGGAGUUUUGCAGCCCCAGGGGGAGAUGCGAGACUUCGGGGUCUGCGGCCUAUGUGGGUUGAGAGCGGGGCGGACGGCCGCCGUCCUGCUUUGGAACCUGGCUGCCGCGCAAUAGCCCAAUGAUGUGUAUCACGGGCCCCUGCUUCCCCCCCAUGGACCCGGGGGGAUAUCCCGGUCCUCACUGGAGGGAACCACCGCCUAAGUGACCCACCGAGCACACCUAGCACCCCACAUGCUAUGCCUGGGCGCCAAAAUGGCGGCGACGCGACUGAAGCUGAGAACAGCAUCUUCACCCACCUAAAAACAGCUUUGCCCACAAGCAGCAUACAUGGGCCACGGAGCCCGAACCUGCAGAUAAGCGUUGGACCCUCUACAAAGCCCCUGCUUACCCACUCAAGGAUCAAGCUUGGUUCCACGGCUGGGCGGGGAAUGGGGAGCCCCCAAAGUUGAAACCUCGAGAGCCCGACCAGAAGCAGACACCAAGCGUCAGGAGGAUGGAGGAGCAGACAACCACCAACAAAUGCAGCAGAUCUGCCAAUCAAUACACCCCAGAGGUCCCAGGCCACAAGACCAGAUGAACAGGGCGACAUAAACGGCAAAGCUCCAGUGGACUUUUCCAACACGUAUGGGUCACCCGAUUGACAGUAUGCUUUAGGCUCGGUGGAUACCAACUCUCUGCAUAAAGCAUAUAGUCUAGGCAUAGUUCCUUCCAUCUUGACACACUCAGGAUUCUGCUUACACUUACUAUGACUAGCCCAACCAGUAUCUGCCCACUCAACAUGCAUAGAAUUAAGCUAGAACUAAGCGCAGUAACACGAAUGCAGACAGCCUAAGUAAUUUUAUUAAGCGUGUUUAGUCAGUCAGGCAGGCCUAAAUGUUUGUUCUCACUUUGCUUCCUUCUCCUAACAAACGUGCACCGCUUGCUUAACAGUUACGUGAACCUCACACGCAGCGAUACUCAUGUUCGGGUUAAUGUAUAUUGCUUGCCUUACUCACUUGUGAACUGUAAUACUUGACAUAUGUCCUGCUUUCCGCUACCUGCUACCACUCAAUAGCUAUAUAUUUUUAAAAACAAAAAUUGCAUUUCUCAACUGCCAUAAUUGUGAAGCGUUGUAUUACUGAGCUUAUCACUGCUAUUGUGGCAGAAUAAGCCGAUAUGUUCACUUAUGCAUCC